Molecule: unclassified non-coding RNA, 338 nt
Filed under: soil metagenome
Description: partial contains 5.8S ribosomal RNA, internal transcribed spacer 2, and large subunit ribosomal RNA
Rfam family: 5.8S ribosomal RNA (bases 1-120)
Source: RNAcentral
GAUGAAGAACGCAGUGAAAUGCGAUAAGUAGUGUGAAUUGCAGAAUUCAGUGAAUCAUCGAAUCUUUGAACGCACAUUGCGCCCUUUGGUAUUCCUUAGGGCAUGCCUGUUCGAGCGUCAUCUAAACCUUCAAGCUCAGCUUGGUGAUGGGCGACUGUCCCCCCCCCUCGCGGGGGGGACUCGCCUCAAAAACAUUGGCGGCCGGUACAUUGGCUUCGAGCGCAGCAGAAACGCGGUCUCGAGCCCGGUGGAUCGGCUCCCAUAAGCCUAUUCUUUUAUUUUGACCUCGGAUCAGGUAGGGAUACCCGCUGAACUUAAGCAUAUCAAUAAGCGGAGGA